AUGAACGCUGGCGGCGUGCCUAAUACAUGCAAGUCGAGCGAACAGACGAGGAGCUUGCUCCUCUGACGUUAGCGGCGGCCGGGUGAGUAACACGUGGAUAACCUACCUAUAAGGCUGGGAUAACUUCGGGAAACCGGAGCUAAUACCGGAUAAUAUAUUGAACCGCAUGUUUCAAUAGUGAAAGACGGUUUUGCUGUCACUUAUAUAUGGAUCCGCGCCGCAUUAGCUAGUUGGUAAUGUAACGGCUUACCAAGGCAACGAUGAGUAGCCAACCUGAGAGGGGGAUCGGCCACAAUGAAAGAGAGACACGGUCCAGAAUCCUAAAGGAGGCAGCAGUAGGGAAUCUUACGCAAUGGGCGAAGGCCUGACGGAGCAACGCCGGGUGAAUGAUGAAGGUCUUCGGAUCGGAAAACUCUGUUAGUAGGGAAGAACAAAUGUGUAAGUAACUAUGCACGUAUUGACGGUACCUAAUCAGAAAGCCACGGCUAACUACGUG
This 496-nucleotide ribosomal RNA is filed under the name uncultured bacterium. Its description in RNAcentral is "partial 16S ribosomal RNA". It matches the Rfam family "Bacterial small subunit ribosomal RNA", at positions 29 to 507 of the family's 1533-position model. The record is from RNAcentral.